CACCAAAGAGUUAAGUCAUAUUUAAGUGGUAAAAAGACAGUUAGACAAAUUUUAAUAGUCUUUAAUGCCUUAUAAAGAAGUAAAAUUCAUAUAUAAAUGUAUAUUCUAAUAACAGCUAUAAAGUUGAAUCUGUGACAGCUCGGAGGGAAACUGGGAUUAGAUACCCCAUUAUUCCUAGCUAUAAAUUAAAAUUAGCUUUUACCAGAGUACUAUGAAUACUAUAAAAUUUAAAACUCAAAGGACUUGGCGGUAUUUUAGACCCUUUAGGGGAACCUGUCUCAUAAUCGAUAGUCCACGUUAUACCUAACCUUUUUUUGCUACCAGUUUGUAUAUCGUUGUCGUCAGGUAACUUUUUAGAAAUCAGAAGUUAGCUAAAAAUAGUAAGUUUAAACGUCAAAUCAAGGUGCAGCUGACAAAAAGGUGAAGAUGGGUUACAAUUAUUUAAAUUAUAAUUACAGAAAAUCAUAGGAAUUAAUGAUUAAUAAGGAGGACUUAAAAGUAAAUUAAAUUAUAUAAAUAACUUGAAUAAGGCUCUGAAAUGUGC
Molecule: ribosomal RNA, 544 nt
Filed under: Turridrupa armillata
Lineage: Eukaryota; Metazoa; Mollusca; Gastropoda; Neogastropoda; Turridae
Description: partial 12S ribosomal RNA
Rfam family: Bacterial small subunit ribosomal RNA
Source: RNAcentral